RNAcentral lists this ribosomal RNA (461 nucleotides) under Salmonella enterica. RNAcentral describes it as "partial 23S ribosomal RNA". It matches the Rfam family "Bacterial large subunit ribosomal RNA", at positions 454 to 816 of the family's 2925-position model. RNAcentral also lists the same sequence under 2 other names. The record is from RNAcentral. Lineage: Bacteria; Pseudomonadati; Pseudomonadota; Gammaproteobacteria; Enterobacterales; Enterobacteriaceae.
CAUCCUCCAAGGCUAAAUACUCCUGACUGACCGAUAGUGAACCAGUACCGUGAGGGAAAGGCGAAAAGAACCCCGGCGAGGGGAGUGAAAAAGAACCUGAAACCGUGUACGUACAAGCAGUGGGAGCCCCACCACUAAGCCAGUGGUGAACUCCACAUCCGCAUCCUUUGCUGAGGAUACGGUUAACGGAGCGAAAGCGACGUUCAACCGCAAAACAAGCAGAGGGGGCUUAGUGGUGGGGUGACUGCGUACCUUUUGUAUAAUGGGUCAGCGACUUAUAUUCUGUAGCAAGGUUAACCGUAUAGGGGAGCCGGAGGGAAACCGAGUCUUAACCGGGCGUUAAGUUGCAGGGUAUAGACCCGAAACCCGGUGAUCUAGCCAUGGGCAGGUUGAAGGUUGGGUAACACUAACUGGAGGACCGAACCGACUAAUGUUGAAAAAUUAGCGGAUGACCUGUGGCU